This is a non-coding RNA of Solanum lycopersicum (tomato), 2167 nucleotides long. The record is from RefSeq and is a predicted model, not a curated record. Lineage: Eukaryota; Viridiplantae; Streptophyta; Magnoliopsida; Solanales; Solanaceae.
UUUAAUUAAAUAAUAGUAUUUUAAUUAUCUAAAGAUUGAAUUAUAUAAGAUCAUUAAAAAUACAUCCAUAAAUACAUCUUCCUCACAUUAAAAAAAUGUAAUUGACCUAAAUGAACAAUUGUCAUCCAAAAAUAGAAAGGAGAAACACCCUAGAUAGGAGCGCUUUCUCUCGUAAGGAAGUUUUCAAACCAAAUAAAAAUUCAAAUUUCAUGUUUCUCGUAUAAAGAUUAUGAUUUUUUGAACGAACAAGAAUGAAUCAUAGUUUGGUCCUAAAGGAGGUAACAAAAAGAACCCGACUUAACAAAAUAUAAUUGAAUUGGUUGGAAAAUAAAUAAUGAAUAUUAAAUAGAAAUUUUAUAAAAACUAAUAUGUUCAUGUGUAAUUUUAUCAUUCCCUUGUAUUGCUAGCACAUAACCUUCUCUUUCGUGAACUUCAUAAAAAUAAUAGAGUAGUGUCAACAUGAGGAAAUAAUUUGUUACACACUCGAUGCAAUUAAAUUAGUAAAAUCAUCGUUAUGUUUCUCUUAACUAAACUGAAUUAAUAUAUGAUUCAGCUUACUUCAAAGAAAAAAUAAUAUAUACUAAUACUAAUUUAAUUACAUGUCAAGUGUGUGGCAAAAUAUCUCUUUAUGUAGUACAACACAAUACUUUAUCAUUUUGAUCAAGUUUACGGAAGACAAUGUUAUAUGUUAACAAUACAACGAAAUGUUUUAAAAUCAUGAAUGAAUAUGUUAGUUUAUAUAGUAUUAUUAUUUGAUAUUCAUUAUUAUUCGCUGACAAAUUUAAAUUUUUGUUAAGUCAACUUGAUUUUGUUACCCCUUUAGGACCUUCUAUAAUUCAUUUUAGUUCAAUCAGAAAAUCACCAUAUUAUAAGAGGACCUUUGAAUUUAUAGUUUGUUUAAAAACUUUCUUUCAAGGGAAAGCGUUCCUAUACAGGUGUUUCUCCCUUCUAAUUUUUGAUGGCAAUUCAUUCUAAAUUAAGGCAAAUCAACUUUUUUUUAUAUGAGGAAGACGAACUUUGAUACAUUAGUUUGAGUAAAACUUCCUUAACAGGAUAACGAUCUAACCAAAGUGAAAUAAAAAGUUAUGUAGGAGUUGUUCGCUGGUAGCAUAGUUAUGAUGGUCAGCUACCCCCAAGAUGCGUACCCGACCAAAGAUCACAAGUGAUCCCAAGAUAACUUUGUUGGCAUACAUCAACAUACUAUGAAAUCUUAAAUGAAAUAAUACUGAGCGUAAGCUUUAUGAAAAAUGAAAUUGAUUGGGAAUACCCAUUCUAAAACUGAAUAUAUAAGAAAACUAAGAGUUUUAACACAACUUAAAGUCAAGCUCAAAUGAAAUAAAGCUAAAUCUAGUUAUGUCUGAAAUAAGACUAACUGACUGUUUUCUUGUUAACAAACAUGUGUAAAGCAGGCUUGAUUGUGAAGAAGUUGGAGAAACACGAGGAGAUGGUGAAUGCAUCCACUAUGCGAAAUGUAUUGUUUAUGCUAAAUUUGGUGAAGUAGGAAGAGAGUUGCAGGUUCCUAGUCUCUACGAGCAAUACUCGUUCUUGGGUUGAUAGUAUGUUUAACUAAUAAGUAUAUUCUCAAAUGGCAAAGUGAAAAGCUGUUGAUUGCAGAAUGUGGACUGAGACUCAUAGGAGAAAAGAUGGAAGUUAUGUAACUGAGGAAGCUAAGGAGAUGGGGACCGAAUUUGAUUCGUUCUUGUUUGAUCAAGUCAUUCUAUUUUUUGCUGGGAAUUCAUCAAAAAUCGAGGAAACAACUUGUUCUAAUUAUUUGAAGAAGAUGAACUUUGCUUCAUUAAUUUACUCGAUCGCAAGAUAGGAGUUACAGUUCCUCCGGUCACUAGCUAGAGGGGAAGUGUUGAAGGAAGCAUGAAGAUUGAUGAAACAUGUCGAAGGAACAGUAGACUGAUGAACAUGUUGAAGGAGAAGAUUCAUCGAAGCAAGCUAACAAGUUUGAGUUGGAAUCAUACUAGGACUAAACUACUAAAUUCUAAGAUAUGUACGACUAAGCUACUCUAUAUUGUAGGAGUCAACUAGGAUAAGGUUUUUGAGUUAUAAUACAAUACUACUCAUGUAAAUAAUUGUGUUGUAGUAGGAUUCAUAGUAUAUCUAGAAUAUGACUCUUCUUUUAUAUAAGGAGCUUGUGACUCAACAUUUUUCAUCAAUA